CCUACGGGAGGCAGCAGUGGGGGAUAUUGCACAAUGGGGGGAACCCUGAUGCAGCGACGCCGCGUGGGCGAAGAAGUAUUUCGGUAUGUAAAGCCCUAUCAGCAGGGAAGAAGAAAUGACGGUACCUGAGUACGAAGCACCGGCUAAAACAGUGCCAGCAGCCGCGGUAAUUCGUGUGGGGCAAGCGUUAUCCGGAUUUAUUGGGUUUAAAGGGUGCGUAGGCGGAAUGCCAAGUCAGCGGUAAAAUCGCGGGGCUCAACCUCGCUGAGCCGUUGAAACUGGCGUUCUUGAGUGGACGAGAGGUAAGCGGAAUGCGAGGUGUAGCGGUGAAAUGCAUAGAUAUCACGCAGAACACCAGUGGCGAAGGCGGCAUACCGGCGCCCAACUGACGCUGAAGCGCGAAAGCGUGGGUAUCGAACAGGAUUAGAUACCCUAGUAGUC
This 441-nucleotide ribosomal RNA is filed under the name uncultured bacterium. Its description in RNAcentral is "partial 16S ribosomal RNA". It matches the Rfam family "Bacterial small subunit ribosomal RNA", at positions 338 to 795 of the family's 1533-position model. The record is from RNAcentral.